Long non-coding RNA from Pezoporus occidentalis (night parrot), 857 nucleotides. RefSeq lists it as uncharacterized. NCBI's taxonomy places the organism in Eukaryota, Metazoa, Chordata, Aves, Psittaciformes, Psittacidae. The record is from RefSeq and is a predicted model, not a curated record. The transcript is spliced from 3 exons.
GUAGGAGAAAGCCACUCGGCUUGUGUUCAUCACAGCACUAGUGUGUGCUCAGUGGGCUGCAUCUGCAACAGAUCUCCCAUCAGUGAGGACACUGCAUCUGGUGAAGUGGGGUUGGCUCCUCUGCUAGCAGUGCUGGAGCAGUGAUUGCUGGUGUCAGUGGGGCUGGCUCUGUGGCCUUCCCAGGUUUGACUGGCAUGUUUUAAAAGCUGGUGUUGGUGUUUUGCUGGGAGACCCCUGUUAUUACUGUGGUGCUGGCAGGCGUCAGCUACUGAAACUGUUGGGUGAGGAGCAGCAGGCUGUGUGCCUGGGCAGUUGACACAGAUACCCACGCUUGUGCUGCUCACCUGCAGUGAGGCACUUUCUCCUCCUUCUUCAUCUACUUGCCCAACACAGCAACCAGGUCUCGGAUGAGCUGGAAGUUUGUCUCACAUUUCCCUGGGGAACAGGAAUGGACAGGAAUAAGGUUCCUGUGCUGUGAAAGUGCACAGGGAGGUGCUGUCAGAAAAGCCAAAAUGAAUGUACGUCUCAUUGAGCUGGUUCCAGUGGAGCUCUGAGGGAGGGUUAGUGCUCAUACACCAGAUAUUAAAUUACAUCUAGUGAGAAGGAGCAGAUGUUGAUGUGCCAGGCCUGUCUGCCACCACGUCUAAUGCAUAAGGAUGGCUGAAAAAUCUCCCAUCAAAAUAUUUUGAUUUUUCUUGAGGAAAAAAUAAACUUCUACUAGAAAAAAAUAAAAAAUGAACCCCCGAGGCAGAAAACUUAUGGCUCAGAAAACUUUGUUUUCAGACUGUUGAUAAAGGGCUGCUGCUGUCAGAGAGGAUAAAGAGGAGGAUUUUUUCAUCAGCCGUGUUAAUCUGAUC